Hemiscyllium ocellatum (epaulette shark) is the source of this 4509-nucleotide long non-coding RNA. RefSeq lists it as uncharacterized. The transcript has 3 exons. The record is from RefSeq and is a predicted model, not a curated record. Lineage: Eukaryota; Metazoa; Chordata; Chondrichthyes; Orectolobiformes; Hemiscylliidae.
AGACCCCCGUCACUGGUCACCGCCGCCUUCCUGGUGCAGCUGCUGUGUCACGGCCACACCGGCCGGCUGUACAGCAGGCAGGAGCCGGUGACCAUUCUGGAGGCGGAUGGGGUUAAGGGCCUGCUUGGGAACUGGUCGGCCGCCUGGGUGGUGGAGUUCUACUGGUCGUGGGGCGGCCCCUGUGUCAACUAUGGGGCCACCUGGAAGGUACUGGGCCCGGGAGGUGAAAGGAUCUGAAGAUGGAAGUUUCAAAAUCAACAGAUGAAGGCCUAAUGCCCAAAACGUUGACUCUCCUGCUUCUUGGAUGCUGCCUGACCUGCUGUGCUUUUCCAGCGCCGCACUUUCUGACUCUGACUCUCCAGCGUCUGCAGUCCUUACUUUGACGUCCAUGUCUGACAGUCAUUCAAUCCAAUCCAUCGGGACCGCAACAGUUUGCAACUAUGAUUCUGUGAGGAGCAAAGCUGUUUGGGUACGUUUUCAGCAUCAGUGGGACUGGAUGAGAGAUCCUACCGUUACAGUGCACUGAGUGAGGAGCGUGCAACAGCUCUACGGUUUGGAAAGAGGAAUUCACGGUGGAGAGAAGCUCCACAUGCGUUUGUGCGGCUGAAGCUUCGGCCAUGGAGAAACCCGAGGAAUCCCGCCCCGUGGAGAAACCAUGGAAGUGUGGCAACUGUGGGAAAGGCUUGUUUCCCGUCUGCCCUGGAGACUCAUUGGCGCAGUCACACUGGGGAGAGGCCGUUCCCCUGCCCUGACUGCAGGAAUGACUUAAGCGAUUCCUCCAACCUCCAGACCCACCAGUGGAUCCACAUGGGGGAGAGGCCCUUAAGCUGCCCCGAGUGCGGGAAGGCCUUUACCCAGGCCGCCUCCUUGCUGACCUACCAGCGGGAUCACGUGGCAUUGCAGGAGGAUUGAAAGAAGGACGGCCGAGUGCCUUUACCAACUGGACUAUCAACCCAGUUCCAGUGGCUCCUGAGUUCGAUUCCCACAACAGAUGGCGGAAUUGGAAUUUGGUCAGAAAUCUGGAGUUCAGAAUCUAACGGUGAAACUAUUGUCGGUGGGGUGGAGGUGGAAAAAAACCCCCUUCUGAUUCACUCAGUUCUUUUUUAGGGAAGACUUGAGCAGUUAUUAGAGCAGUCGUCCCAGCUGCAUCCUUUACCCGCUCUGGCCUACACAUGACUCCAGACCCACAAUAGUCUGGUUGACUCUAUGCUGCUCAUCCAACUUACUUGGAUACAGGUUGAAAUUGCUGAGUGAGGCAAUACUUCCUCCAGAUUAUGGCUACACCAAGGAUCCAAUUACAAAGGGAUAACUCAGUGGUGACCAAUAAUGAAGAAAGUGAGGAGUUGCACUUUGACCUUGAGCUGUUUUUAAAAAAUUGCUACUUUUUCUACACCUUUCUGCUGGGAGAUUCUGAAGCUGUAACAAAGUUGGGUCACAAUAAAGAUUACCUGAUCUUCACACUGAGCUCAUACUCUCAAUGAGAGCUUUAAACUGCAACAGGUUUUUGGUUUAAAACUGCUGAUUUCUUACAGGAGAAAGUUAGAACUGCAGAUGCUGGAGAUCAGGGUCAAGAUUAGAGUGGUGCUGGCAAAGUACUGCAGGUCAGGCAGUGUCCGAGGAGCAGGAAAAUCGACAUUUCGGGUUUGCUCCAGACUCCACCCUCCUUACUGUGUCAACCAUCUGUGAGUAAGGCUUUCACAGGAGGAUUUACCUGCAUAUCUUGAACUAAUUGCCUCAGCCAGCUUGACUCAUUGGGACUGGAAUUUUAUCGAUCUUUUGAGUGGAGAAGGAGGAUUGUCCCGCCUGCUUCCAGAGAUCUGACUGGUAAAGCACUGAGAUGCCGCUGUUCGAGGGUGGAGGGAGCUUUACCGGAGCGGAGAGUUAGCCAGCCGGCCACCCGCAGCAGAGUGGGACGUCAGAGGGAGCGUCGAACCUGGAGGGAGCCCGCGCCAUGGGGAAACCGUGGGGAAUGCGGGAAGGGGUUUCGAGUCCCCUCUGAGCUGGAGAUCCACUGGCGCGGUCACACCGGGGAGAGGCCGUUCUCCUGCCCCGAGUCCGGCAAGGCCUUCGUUGGGUCCUCCAAGCUGCUGAGGCACCGGCGGGUCCACACCGGGGACAGGCCGUACCCCUGCCCCGAGUGUGGCAAGGCCUUCACCCAGCUGUCCCACCUGCAGACGCACCGGCGCCUCCACACACCAGGGAGAGGCCUCUCACCUGCCCCGGGGGCGGCAAGGCCUUCAAUCGAUCGCCGACCCUGCGGACGCACAGGCGCCUUCCCAACGUGAUCGCACGGAGUUGAAGUCUGCAGCGAAUCCCCCCCAGGACUGGGGGGGAUCGUGCCCCGUGGGGGUAUUGUGCCCCGUUCGAAGACAGUGGGUGAAGCGGGAAGGGAGCGAGGCUUCCUUUCUGCCGGACUGGCCGCUCUCACUCCCUUUGCUUCCCGUGGGACCGAUGCUGUUUGAGGCUGGGACUGCACGUUCCCCGGGCCAAAGAUCUGCAGGAGCUGAGGAAGUGCACUCCUUUCACACCGGAUGGUAAAUCAUGUUUGUCCCAUCUAUUUCGGUCUUAAAUACCCUCCGUGACCUGGCCUCCCAGCCUCCUGUGGCAGUGAAUUCCACAGAUUCCCCACUCUCUGUCUGAAGAGGUUUCUGCUUAUCUCCGUUCUAAAAGGUCUAAGGCUGUGCCCUCGGCUCCUGGUCUCUCCUACCAAUGGAAACGUCUUCCCAAUGGCCACAGAUAGAUCAGAGUCAAAUACAAUAGCCUCUAUUCCAUUGAGUGUCCAGCACACUUUAUAACACUUUGUAAAAUCAGGAGGGCCAUUGAUGAGGUGAGUGGCAGGUGUCUUUUCCCGAUAGAAUAAAGAAUAUUCCAGCACAGGAACAGGCCCUUCGGCCCUCCAAGCCUACACCGAUCCAGAUCCUCUAUCUAAACCUGCUGCCUAUUUUCUCAGGAUCUGUAUCCCUCUGCUCCCUGCCCUUUCAUGUAUCUGUUGAGAUACAUCUUAAAUGACGCCAUUGUUCCCGUCCCUACCAUCUCCGCUGGCAACACAUUCCAGGUAUCCAGCACCCUCUGCGUAAAGAACUUUCCAUAGAUAUCUUAAAUCUUUCCCCUCUCACUUUGAACUCAUGACCCCAGGUAACUGAGUCCUCCACUCUGGGGAAAAACAUUUCUUGCUAUCCACCCUGUCUAUACUUCUCAUGAUUUUGUUGGCCUCAAUCUGGUCCCCCCUUAACCCCCGUCUUUCCAAUGAAAAUAAUCCUGAUCUAUUCAACCUCUCUUCAUAGUUAGCAUCCUCCAUACCAGGUAACAUCCUGGUGAACCUCCUCUGCACCCUCUCCAAAGCAUCCACAUCCAUUUGGUAAUGUGGCGACCAGAACUGUACGUGGUAUUCCAAAUCUGGCCGAAACAAAGUCUUGUAUAACUGUAACAUGACCUGCCAACUCUUGUACACAAUACUCUGUCCGAUGAAGGAAAGUGUGCCAUAUGCCGCCUUGACCACUCUACUGACCUGCAUUGCCAUCUUCAGGGAACAAUGGGCCUGAACACACAGAUCUCUCUCUACAUCAGUUUUCCCCAGGACUUUUCCCAUAUUACCUCACUGCUCGAGUCCUUCAUAGUGCCCUCCUUCAGCACAGCUGUGAUAGCCUCUCUGACCAGUAAUACAACUCCUUCACCUCCCUCUCUAUCCCACCUGAAGCAUCGAUAUCCUGGGAUAUUUAGUUGCCAAUCUGGCACUAUGAGGCAUCGGUGCUACCUACUGAGCCAUCAUGCCACCCUCUUGCAGUUUGCUAACCUAGUUAUCUGCCCCCCCCUCUCUUCCUAUAAUAGUAGUUUGGUUUGUCCUAUAAUAGUAGUGUUAUCCCAGUCGAAUUCAUGUUGCUUGUCAUCUGCGUGUAUGGCCACCAAGGAUAGCUGGUCGUGUCGUUUCGUGGCUAGUUGGUAUUCAUGGAUGUGGAUCGUUAGCUGUCUUCCUGUUUGUCCUAUGUAGUGUUUUGUGCAGGCCUUGCAUGGGAUUUUGUACACAAUAAGGACUGCACAAAACACUACAUAGGACAAACAGGAAGACAGCUAAUGAUCCGCAUCCAUAACACUACUAUUACAGGACAAGCCAAACAGAGAACAGCCAGGGAAUUCCUGGAGGCAUGGCACUCACCCACAGAUUCAAUCAAUAAACACAUCGACCUGGACCCAAUAUACCGGCCACUGCAGCGGACAGCUGGAACUGACAAUCGGAAGCGGCAGAGACAAACCACUAUAAAUGCCGGAGGAAACAACACAGAAGUGCUUCACAGGAGACUCCCAAGCACUGAGGAUGUCACCCAAACAGGGGACGAAACGUCUGCAACACAAAUUCCCAGCUCGGCAAACAGAACCACAACAACGAGCAGCCGAGCUACAAAUCUUCUCCCAAACUUGGAAUACAUAACAUGGCUACAACACUAUGAUAUAACUAGAAAUAAUUAUAAAUCAAAUUUAUACAGCCGUAAAUAAAUACAUAUUGCACAGUAA